RNAcentral lists this ribosomal RNA (426 nucleotides) under uncultured bacterium. Its description in RNAcentral is "bacterial SSU rRNA". It matches the Rfam family "Bacterial small subunit ribosomal RNA", at positions 354 to 796 of the family's 1533-position model. The record is from RNAcentral.
GUGAGGAAUAUUGCACAAUGGGCGAAAGCCUGAUGCAGCAACGCCGCGUGAGCGAUGAAGGCCUUCGGGUCGUAAAGCUCUUUUGAGAGGGACGAGAUAGGACGGUACCUCUUGAAUAAGUCACGGCUAACUACGUGCCAGCAGCCGCGGUAAAACGUAGGUGGCAAGCGUUAUCCGGAUUCACUGGGCGUAAAGCGAGUGCAGGUGGCUUUGUAAGUUGGAUGUGAAAUUUCCCGGCUUAACCGGGAAGGGUCAUUCAAUACUGCAAGGCUUGAGGGCAAAAGAGGGGGGUGGAAUUGCCGGUGUAGUGGUGAAAUGCGUAGAUAUCGGCAGGAACACCUGUGGCGAAAGCGGCCCCCUGGUUUGCUCCUGACACUCAGACUCGAAAGCUAGGGUAGCGAACGGGAUUAGAAACCCCGGUAGUCC